GACGGACGCUGGCGGCGUGCUUAACACAUGCAAGUCGAACGGAAAGGCCCUGCUUUUGUGGGGUGCUCGAGUGGCGAACGGGUGAGUAACACGUGAGUAACCUGCCCUUGACUUUGGGAUAACUUCAGGAAGCUGGGGCUAAUACCGGAUAGGAGCUCCUGCUGCAUGGUGGGGGUUGGAAAGUUUCGGCGGUUGGGGAUGGACUCGCGGCUUAUCAGCUUGUUGGUGGGGUAGUGGCUUACCAAGGCUUUGACGGGUAGCCGGCCUGAGAGGGUGACCGGCCACAUUGGGACUGAGAUACGGCCCAGACUCCUACGGGAGGCAGCAGUGGGGAAUAUUGCACAAUGGGCGGAAGCCUGAUGCAGCAACGCCGCGUGCGGGAUGACGGCCUUCGGGUUGUAAACCGCUUUCGCCUGUGACGAAGCGUGAGUGACGGUAAUGGGUAAAGAAGCACCGGCUAACUACGUG
RNAcentral lists this ribosomal RNA (468 nucleotides) under uncultured bacterium. Its description in RNAcentral is "partial 16S ribosomal RNA". It matches the Rfam family "Bacterial small subunit ribosomal RNA", at positions 28 to 507 of the family's 1533-position model. The record is from RNAcentral.